AUUGAACGCUGGCGGCAUGCCUUACACAUGCAAGUCGAACGGCAGCACGGGUGCUUGUUGCUGGUGGCGAGUGGCGAAGGGGUGAGUAAUAGGUAUGAACAUGUAUCGACGUGGGCGUUAGGCAGGAGAAAGGGGGAUUAAUGCUGCUACCGUAUUCCGGCUACAAGUGGAAGAAGUUGAGGUUCGGAGCUUUAGCGAUGGCAGAUGGCUGAUUAGCUAGUUGGUGGGGUAAAGGCCUACCAAGGCGACGAUCAGUAGCUGGUCUGAGAGGACGACCAGCCACACUGGAACUGAGACACGGCCCAGACUCCUACGGGAGGCAGCAGUGGGGAAUUUUGGACAAUGGGCGAAAGCCUGAUCCAGCAAUGCCGCGUGUGUGAAGAAGGCCUUCGGGUUGUAAAGCACUUUUGUCCGGAAAGAAAACCAUCACCCUAAUACGGUCGUGUUAUGACGGUACCGAAAGAAUAAGCACCGGCUAACUACGUG
RNAcentral lists this ribosomal RNA (486 nucleotides) under uncultured bacterium. Its description in RNAcentral is "partial 16S ribosomal RNA". It matches the Rfam family "Bacterial small subunit ribosomal RNA", at positions 30 to 507 of the family's 1533-position model. The record is from RNAcentral.